CAUUGUCUUUUUCGGGUGAAAUUAUUCGAUAACAUUGGACGUUUUUUUUACGAUUGUCCGUCGAUUCUUUCCUGUCCGUAUUCACAGCAGAGAGUUCAUGAUAUAAGUUUACCUAUAGUUUUAUACACCGCGUGGUUCACAGCGUAUAAGCGUUUUGACAACGCAGCCAGUGACGAAUUCAUUUUUCGACGAGCUCCGAAAUACAUCCUCGUUGAUUUAUGCGCGUAUAAAGUAUUGUGCACUCGCGUAUAUACUAUUUUAUACGACUUUAUUAUAAUAAUAUAUGGGUAGAAGAUGCACAUACGGUGUAAUGACAUAAUAUUGUUAUGGCGCAAAUGCAAACGUAAAGAAAAAUGGGCGCUGC
Molecule: non-coding RNA, 364 nt
Organism: Cinara cedri
Lineage: Eukaryota; Metazoa; Arthropoda; Insecta; Hemiptera; Aphididae
Source: the annotation of a GenBank genome assembly